UACGUAGGGUGCGAGCGUUGUCCGGAAUCAUUGGGCGUAAAGAGCUCGUAGGCGGCUCAGUAAGUCGGGUGUGAAACCUCCAGGCUCAACCUGGAGACGCCACCCGAUACUGCUGUGGCUAGAGUCCAGUAGGGGAGUGUGGAAUUCCCGGUGUAGCGGUGAAAUGCGCAGAUAUCGGGAGGAACACCAGCGGCGAAGGCGGCACUCUGGGCUGGUACUGACGCUGAGGAGCGAAAGCGUGGGUAGCAAACAGG
Molecule: ribosomal RNA, 254 nt
Filed under: uncultured bacterium
Lineage: Bacteria
Description: partial 16S ribosomal RNA
Rfam family: Bacterial small subunit ribosomal RNA
Source: RNAcentral